UACGAAGGGGGCUAGCGUUGCUCGGAAUCACUGGGCGUAAAGCGCACGUAGGCGGCUUUUUAAGUCAGGGGUGAAAUCCUGGAGCUCAACUCCAGAACUGCCUUUGAUACUGGAGAGCUUGAGUCCGGAAGAGGUGAGUGGAACUCCGAGUGUAGAGGUGAAAUUCGUAGAUAUUCGGAAGAACACCAGUGGCGAAGGCGGCUCACUGGUCCGGUACUGACGCUGAUGUGCGAAAGCGUGGGGAGCAAACAGG
This 253-nucleotide ribosomal RNA is filed under the name uncultured bacterium. RNAcentral's name for it is "partial 16S ribosomal RNA". It matches the Rfam family "Bacterial small subunit ribosomal RNA", at positions 524 to 776 of the family's 1533-position model. The record is from RNAcentral.